AAAUAUUUUAAUUGCUGUAUUCAUUAUUGAGUGAAUACAUAUUAUCUGUGCUUUUGUGGGAAAGACACCUCAAUAUGGUCAGUAUUUACAACACCUAAGCAGUUACUUUGCUCCACCAUUGCAGAAUAUAACUAUGUAGCAUUGAAAAUUUUGCUAACCAUUGACCUGGAAAUCUUGGUUCAAAUGUUAAAGGGAGACUCCAGUGCCAGGAAAACAAUCAGUUUUCCUGGCACUGCAGGUUCCCUCUCCCUCCCACCCCCCAAUCC
This is a non-coding RNA of Pelobates cultripes (western spadefoot toad), 266 nucleotides long. The record is from the annotation of a GenBank genome assembly. NCBI's taxonomy places the organism in Eukaryota, Metazoa, Chordata, Amphibia, Anura, Pelobatidae.